RNAcentral lists this ribosomal RNA (506 nucleotides) under uncultured bacterium. RNAcentral describes it as "partial 16S ribosomal RNA". It matches the Rfam family "Bacterial small subunit ribosomal RNA", at positions 28 to 523 of the family's 1533-position model. The record is from RNAcentral.
GAUGAACGCUAGCGGCAGGCCUAACACAUGCAAGUCGAGGGGCAGCACAUAAAGUGGUUUACUACUUUUGGUGGCGACCGGCGGACGGGUGCGUAACGCGUAUGCAACCUGCCUCCAACAGGGGGAUAACGGAGAGAAAUUUCCACUAAUACCCCAUAAUAUCAGAAUCGGCAUCGGUUUUGGUUGAAAACUCCGGUGGUUGGAGAUGGGCAUGCGUUGUAUUAGAUAGUUGGUGAGGUAACGGCUCACCAAGUCAACGAUACAUAGGGGGACUGAGAGGUUAGCCCCCCACACUGGUACUGAGACACGGACCAGACUCCUACGGGAGGCAGCAGCGAGGAAUAUUGGUCAAUGGGGGCAACCCUGAACCAGCCAUGCCGCGUGCAGGAAGGCGGCUCUAUGAGUUGUAAACUGCUUUUACGAGGGGAUAAAUCGGUGUACGUGUACACCGUUGAAGGUACCUUGGGAAUAAGGAUCGGCUAACUCCGUGCCAGCCGCCGCCGUAA